This 478-nucleotide ribosomal RNA is filed under the name uncultured bacterium. RNAcentral describes it as "partial 16S ribosomal RNA". It matches the Rfam family "Bacterial small subunit ribosomal RNA", at positions 28 to 523 of the family's 1533-position model. The record is from RNAcentral.
GACGAACGCUGGCGGCGUGCUUAACACAUGCAAGUCGAACGGUAAGGCCCUUCGGGGUACACGAGUGGCGAACGGGUGAGUAACACGUGGGUGAUCUGCCCUGCACUUCGGGAUAAGCCUGGGAAACUGGGUCUAAUACCGAAUAGGACUCCGGACUGCAUGGUCUGGGGUGGAGAGCUGUUGCGGUGUGGGAUGGGCCCGCGGCCUAUCAGCUUGUUGGUGGGGUGAUGGCCUACCAAGGCGACGACGGGUAGCCGGCCUGAGAGGGUGACCGGCCACACUGGGACUGAGAUACGGCCCAGACUCCUACGGGAGGCAGCAGUGGGGAAUAUUGCACAAUGGGCGCAAGCCUGAUGCAGCGACGCCGCGUGAGGGAUGACGGCCUUCGGGUUGUAAACCUCUUUCAGCAUCGACGAAGCGAAAGUGACGGUAGGUGCAGAAGAAGGACCGGCCAACUACGUGCCAGCCGCCGCAGUAA